This 340-nucleotide ribosomal RNA is filed under the name uncultured bacterium. RNAcentral describes it as "partial 16S ribosomal RNA". It matches the Rfam family "Bacterial small subunit ribosomal RNA", at positions 338 to 689 of the family's 1533-position model. The record is from RNAcentral.
CCUACGUGUGGCAGCAGUCGAGAAUCAUUCACAAUGGGGGAAACCCUGAUGGUGCGACGCCGCGUGGGGGAAUGAAGGUCUUCGGAUUGUAAACCCCUGUCAUGUGGGAGCAAAUUAAAAAGAUAGUACCACAAGAGGAAGAGACGGCUAACUCUGUGCCAGCAGCCGCGGUAAUACAGAGGUCUCAAGCGUUGUUCGGAGUCACUGGUCGUAAGGCGUGCUUAGGCUGUUUCGCAAGUCGUGUGUGAAAGGCGCGGGCUCAACCCGGGGAUGGCACAUGAUACUGUGAGAGUGAAGUAAUGGAGGGGGAACUGGAAUUCUCGGUGUAGCAGUGAAAUGC